UACGGAGGGCGCAAGCGUUGUUCGGUGUCACUGGGCGUAAAGCGCGCAUAGGCGGCUUGGUAAGUCGGGUGUGAAAUCCCGGGGCCUAACCCCGGAACUGCACUCGAAACUGCCUCGCUCGAGUCCCGGAGAGGAUGGUGGAAUUCCCGGUGUAGUGGUGAAAUACGUAGAUAUCGGGAGGAACACCAGCGGCGAAGGCGGCCAUCUGGACGGUGACUGACGCUGAGAGGCGAAAGCGUGGGGAGCAAACAGG
RNAcentral lists this ribosomal RNA (253 nucleotides) under uncultured bacterium. Its description in RNAcentral is "partial 16S ribosomal RNA". It matches the Rfam family "Bacterial small subunit ribosomal RNA", at positions 524 to 776 of the family's 1533-position model. The record is from RNAcentral.